UUUUGCUAACUACACCUGAUUGACUUUAUUGCACCCUCCUGUGGUGUUUUUUGCUAACUACAUCAAAUUGAUUUUAUUGUGCCCUCCUGUGGUGUUUUUUGCUAACUACAACCAAUUGACGUAAUUGCGCCCUCCUGUGGUGUUUUUUGCUAACUACACCUGAUUGACUUUAUUGCGCCCUCCUGUGGUGUUUUUUGCUAACUACACCUAAUUGACUUUAUUGCGCCCUCCUGUGGUGUUUUUUGCUAACUACAACUAAUUGACGUAAUUGCGCUCUUCUGUGGUAAUUAAAAUAAAUAAAUACAUUUUAUUUUUGCUAACUACAUCAUUACAAAUUGACUCAAAUUGUCCUCAAUAUGUUGCAUCCUUCUGUGGUGAAUUUUGUGAAAUUUAAUGAACUUUUAGUAGCUUAAGAACAUGCGGCACAAAAAAAUUUCCUAGCACAUUACCUAUGAACAAUUGUACCUAUGAACAAAACCUCACUAUGUCUUAGAAAUGUCUAGUAGUGCUUCUGCUUGUGUAUUUUAAAAAGUGACACAUAACCAGUCAUUAAAGAUCUUUAUUAACUUUACUUCUCAACUCUAAAAGUGAACACGUACAAUUAAAAUAACUGAUGGAAGCAAAUGCAUUUUAUAUGAGUUCAAAACUGAGCACAAACCUGCAUGGACGUUUCUGGUGAUGCUGAAGACCUUAAUUGGUUUCUGGUGAUGCUUAAGACCUUGAUUGGCUUCAGGUGUUUUCAAUCAGGUUGUAGUUAAACUCAAGAAAGUGGAGCAGCAGCAGGAUUAGAGACAAUUACACAAGCUUUGUGUUGUCUUCUGUGGGUCAGUGGAUAGUUGUUUGUACUUUGUGUUUGGUAAGUCUGAGUUUGAAUCCUCCAAUCACCAAUGUGCUUAUUUAUGAAGAAAUUCAGGUCCCAAAGAGUCUAAACCCCAUUUAAAACAAUGAUGUGUCCUUACAGAUUCUCUGGUGCAGUGGAUUACUGAUUAUCUUUGGAUGUUGGAAACCUUGGGUUUGAGUCCCAUCGUUGCUUAACUCUCACCUUUACAGAAAGUAAGUAGUUGUUAUAUUUUAUCCUACAGUUUAAAACACAUGCUCAUUUGUCACAGACCCAGUGGUGCUUGGGAUAAAACCUUUGAGCUUCAAACAUGAAGUUCAGGGUUCAAAGCUAAUUGUUUCUUGUUUCAAAUCAUUCCUCUCUGCAAUUAUACUCAUAAAAACCCUAAACACCAUCACAAAACAUCACCUUUGUGGUACAAUGGCUAAACACUUUCCUGUCAUGUGCAUAAAUCAGAGUUCAAACCCUGCAAAUGCAUGAUUCUUCCCUUAAAUAACACAGCUCUCAAAAAUAUAAUAACCAAAACAUUUAUUUGACCGUCAGACUCAGUGGCUCAGCAGAUAAGGAGUUCAGCUCCCACCUUUGAGACAGGGGUUCACAUCCCACUUAUGUACUGCUUUAUUAUAGUUAUUAAAAUCUCUGGGAUAUAUAAGUUUCUGACAAGACUGGGUCAGUGAAGACAUUUGUGGCUCUGUGGUAAGAGCACAUCCUUUGAAAUCUCAAUUCAUCAGGCAUAAUAUGGUUUCUAAUCCAACUGUAGCAUAGAGAACAAUUUAACUAGUUAAUUGUCCAAUCACAGCUUAGUUAAAGUCAAAUAUACCUUCCAGCAAGCAGUCAGACAGGUGAUCUGUGGCUCUGUGGUAAGAGUGUGUGGCAUGUAAUCUCAAUCCUUCAUUGAGGACAUGGGUUCCAACCUUGGCAUGAAAAGUGGCUAACUUCUUUAUUGUCACACACAAAUCGGCAGUGAAAUAUGUGUUUCCAGCAGGUGUUCAUACAAGAGACCUGUGGCUCUGUGGAAAAAGUGGCUUGUGUGAGAUCUCAAUCCUCCAGUAAAGACAUGAGGUCUAAUCCCACCUCAACAAGAAAAGAGUUUAAACUUCUUCAACUAGUUUAUUGUCCAGUCACAGCUCAGAUAGAAUCAAACAUCAGUUCCAGCAAGUAUUCAGACAGGAGAUCUGUGGCUCUGUGGUAAGAGCGCUGCCCCACGGCUUCAGGGGUUGCUGGUAUCGGUCCCAGCCAGAACUCUGCGAUAUGUGUGAAUGGCGGCAUCAGCGAGCUGCUCUUUUAGCCUGGACAAUUUGACAACAGCGACACAGAUCAUCACAGGUACACCGUUUUACUGGCGUCAAGUUGAGCUCCAGCAGAUGACAGCUCAGUGCCAGACUCAUAAUGUCAGUCAACAGCAGAUAUUACAGCCUGACAGCGAAGUCCAGAAAUGGAGAGUAACGCGACUCACCUCAGUGAAGAUACACACGUGUGUCUGUUGUGUUUCUGCUGCAGCUCUUUGACCUGUUCUCAACAGCUGACGCUCCUCCACACACUCCUCCACAUCCAGGCGGAUUCACAGCUCCAGUAAAGCUACACCGUUUCACUGGUGUAAAGUUGAGCUCCAGCAGAUGACAGCUCAGUGCCAGACUCAUAAUGUCAGUCAACAGCACAUUUUACAGCCCGACAGCGAAGAAAAGCCACACCAAGUGCAGAAAUGGAGAGUAACGCGACUCACCUCAGUGAAGAUACACACGUGUGUUUGUUGUGUUUGUGCUGCAGAUCUUUGACCUGUUUUCAACAGCUGACGCUCCUCCACACACUCCUCCACAUCCAGGCGGAUUCACAGCUCCAGUAAAGCUCACACACAGGUCAGCAGUCCAACAUCAGUUCCAGCAGGUGUUCAGACAUGGAGAUCUGUGGCUCUGUGGUAAGAGCGCUGCCCCACGGCAUCAGGGGUUGCUGGUAUCAGU
Danio rerio (zebrafish) is the source of this 2796-nucleotide non-coding RNA. Lineage: Eukaryota; Metazoa; Chordata; Actinopteri; Cypriniformes; Danionidae. The record is from RefSeq and is a predicted model, not a curated record.